UACCAGCUCCUCGAGUGGUCGGGGCGAUUAUUGGGCCUAAAGCAUCCGUAGCCUGUUCUGUAGGUCUUCUGUUAAAUCCAACGGCUCAACCGUUGGCGGGCAGAGGAUACCGCAGGACUAGGAGGCGGGAGAGGUGGGCGGUACUCCACGUGUAGGGGUAAAAUCCUUUGAUCCGUGGAAGACCACCAGUGGCGAAGGCGGCCCACCAGAACGCGCUCGACGGUGAGGGAUGAAAGCUGGGGGAGCGAACCGG
RNAcentral lists this ribosomal RNA (253 nucleotides) under uncultured bacterium. RNAcentral describes it as "partial 16S ribosomal RNA". It matches the Rfam family "Archaeal small subunit ribosomal RNA", at positions 474 to 727 of the family's 1478-position model. The record is from RNAcentral.